RNAcentral lists this ribosomal RNA (498 nucleotides) under uncultured bacterium. Its description in RNAcentral is "partial 16S ribosomal RNA". It matches the Rfam family "Bacterial small subunit ribosomal RNA", at positions 30 to 523 of the family's 1533-position model. The record is from RNAcentral.
AUUGAACGCUGGCGGCAUGCCUUACACAUGCAAGUCGAACGGUAACAGGUCUUCGGAUGCUGACGAGUGGCGAACGGGUGAGUAAUACAUCGGAACGUGCCUAGUAGUGGGGGAUAACUACUCGAAAGAGUGGCUAAUCCCGCAUGAGAUCUACGGAUGAAAGCAGGGGAUCGAAAGACCUUGUGCUACUAGAGCGGCCGAUGGCAGAUUAGGUAGUUGGUGGGAUAAAAGCUUACCAAGCCGACGAUCUGUAGCUGGUCUGAGAGGACGAUCAGCCACACUGGGACUGAGAAACGGCCCAGACUCCUACGGGAGGCAGCAGUGGGGAAUUUUGGACAAUGGGCGCAAGCCUGAUCCAGCAAUGCCGCGUGCAGGAUGAAGGCCUUCGGGUUGUAAACUGCUUUUGUACGGAACGAAAAGCCCCGGGUUAAUACCCUGGGGUCAUGACGGUACCGUAAGAAUAAGCACCGGCUAACUACGUGCCAGCCGCCGCGGUAA